AGUUAAGUGAAUAAGGGCGCACGGUGGAUGCCUUGGCACUAGAAGCCGAUGAAGGACGGGACUAACACCGAUAUGCCUCGGGGAGUUGUAAGUAAACUUUGAUCCGGGGAUUUCCGAAUGGGGGAACCCACUGUUCGUAAUGGAACAGUACAUGCAUCUGAAUACAUAGGGUGCAUGAGGUAGACCCGGGGAACUGAAACAUCUCAGUACCCGGAGGAAGAGAAAGAAAAAUCGAUUUCCUGAGUAGCGGCGAGCGAAACGGAAAGAGCCCAAACCAGAAAGCUUGCUUUCUGGGGUUGUAGGACAUUCCAUUGGAGUUACCAAGGAAUUCUUUAAAUGAAUCGACCUGGAACGGUCAGCCAAAGAAGGUAAGAGCCCUGUAGUUGAAAGAGAAUUCCCUCCGGAGUGUAUCCUGAGUACGGCGGAACACGUGGAAUUCCGUCGGAAUCCGGGAGGACCAUCUCCCAAGGCUAAAUACUCUCUAGUGACCGAUAGUGAACCAGUACCGUGAGGGAAAGGUGAAAAGCACCCCGGAAGGGGAGUGAAAUAGAACCUGAAACCGUGUGCCUACAAGUAGUCGAAGCCCGUUAAUGGGUGACGGCGUACCUUUUGUAGAAUGGACCGGCGAGUUACGAUCAUAUGCAAGGUUAAGUGGAAGACACGGAGCCGCAGCGAAAGCGAGUCUGAAUAGGGCGAAUGAGUAUGUGGUCGUAGACCCGAAACCGUGUGAUCUACCCAUGUCCAGGGUGAAGGUCAGGUAACACUGACUGGAGGCCCGAACCCACGUAUGUUGAAAAAUGCGGGGAUGAGGUGUGGGUAGGGGUGAAAUGCCAAUCGAACACGGAGAUAGCUGGUUCUCUCCGAAAUAGCUUUAGGGCUAGCCUCAAGAAAUAGAGUACUGGAGGUAGAGCACUGAUUGGACUAGGGGCCCUCACCGGGUUACCGAAUUCAGUCAAACUCCGAAUGCCAGUUACUUUUACUUGGGAGUCAGACUAUGGGUGAUAAGGUUCAUAGUCGAAAGGGAAACAGCCCAGACCGCCAGCUAAGGUCCCAAAGUAUACGUUAAGUGGAAAAGGAUGUGGAGUUGCCCAGACAACCAGGAUGUUGGCUUAGAAGCAGCCAUCAUUUAAAGAGUGCGUAAUAGCUCACUGGUCGAGUGACUCUGCGCCGAAAAUGUACCGGGGCUAAACGUAUCACCGAAGCUGCGGAUUGUUCUUACGAACAAUGGUAGGAGAGCGUUCUAAGUGCUGUGAAGUCAGACCGUGAGGACUGGUGGAGCGCUUAGAAGUGAGAAUGCCGGUAUGAGUAGCGAAAAAAGAGUGAGAAUCUCUUUCACCGAAUGCCUAAGGUUUCCUGAGGAAGGCUCGUCCUCUCAGGGUUAGUCGGGACCUAAGCCGAGGCCGAAAGGCGUAGGCGAUGGACAACAGGUAGAUAUUCCUGUACCACCUCAUGAUUGUUUGAGCGAUGGGGGGACGCAGUAGGAUAAGGAAUGCGCACCGAUGGAUGUGUGCGCCCAAGCAGUGAGAAAGUCAGAUAGGCAAAUCCGUCUGGCAAUUUCAAGCUGUGAUGGGGAGGGAAAUUGAGUACCGAAGUUCCUGAUUUCACACUGCCAAGAAAAGCCUCUAGUUAGAUCAUAGGUGCCCGUACCGCAAACCGACACAGGUAGGCGAGGAGAGAAUCCUAAGGUGAGCGGGAGAACUCUCGUUAAGGAACUCGGCAAAAUGACCCCGUAACUUCGGGAGAAGGGGUGCUUCAUUUACAUGGAGCCGCAGUGAAUAGGCCCAAGCGACUGUUUAGCAAAAACACAGGUCUCUGCGAAGCCGAAAGGCGAAGUAUAGGGGCUGACACCUGCCCGGUGCUGGAAGGUUAAGGGGAAAUGUUAGC
RNAcentral lists this ribosomal RNA (1884 nucleotides) under Oceanobacillus polygoni. RNAcentral describes it as "partial 23S ribosomal RNA". It matches the Rfam family "Bacterial large subunit ribosomal RNA", at positions 1 to 1894 of the family's 2925-position model. The record is from RNAcentral. Lineage: Bacteria; Bacillati; Bacillota; Bacilli; Caryophanales; Bacillaceae.